UUGCUGCAACUGCUCUGGCUUGGCCACACAUCCCUCUCGAUCUGCAUCACAUCCCGCUCUGCAGCGCGGCCGCCGCCGCCGCCGCAACCAAGCCCGCAUGAGGCCCUUUACACCUGCGAGUCCUCCCCCUCUGGUUGAUCGCUGCCGCUGAUAACCGCCCGCCCGCUCCCCGAUGGAUUGAUGGACGGCCGCCGGGCUGCAGCCAUGCUCGUGGAUCCACAACCGCAAGCACCUGUGCGACCCACGACAGUGGCACUUCCAGCAUCCUCGGCGGCGGGGCCUUGGGCUUGCUCGUCACGGUGGUGAUGCCUAGCCCGACGUCCCGACCUCAGUGGCACCUCCGGAGAGGUGCUCUGGGCCGACGCGGACGGGCCCUCUGGCGACUUCACAGGCGAGCGGAACAGCAUCCACGGAGGCCACAACACCUCCUCUCCCUCCUACCGUCCUGCCCCCGUCCACCAUGGCCUUCGAAAAUUCUGGCGAGGUCAACACAGAUGACGGGCUCAACAUGUUUGAUGAAAUGCCCCAAGGUGUAUGCCACAGAUCAGCGCACACAAGAAAUCAUUUUCCAUUACCAGAAUGAAUGCCCCCUACCCUGAGGUUUUAUUUCAUGGGGGAUGUCUUAUAUGGUCAUUGGAGAAGUAACAACCUUUGGGUGUACUGAGUACCAAACAGAAACACAUAAUGUCAUGGGUAUCAUUGAAAAUAGAUUAGACCGAACUUAAGUCUUACUCUCACAUAAGGAACAUCUUUCAGAUUUGCCUCUCAGCAAAAGGUUACCUCGAAUUUCAGUCAGCCUUCCUUCAAAUGACAUGGUAAAUAUGAGUACCACUAUUCUACUUUCUAUCUAGUGCCACAUGGAGAUUGACUAACUCUACUUAUAUGAACAAUGAUAUCAGCAUGGCUGGGGAGGUAUUAUAUUAAGUUUGAUAUUUUUUUCAAAUUUCUUAAUAUAUAAUAUAGUCGAUCACCUGUUGAUCGUGCUAAAGGGGUAUUAGUUGCAUAGCCUUCGAGUUGUGUAUGAUAUAGUUGAUUUUUUAAUAUGUAAUAUUACAAGUAGCUUAAUUUUUCUACAUAGUUUGAAUUGAUACAUAUUAAAGCUAUAUUUGUGAAUGCAGGUUGAAAUGACAAUGAUUGAAUUCUUAUGUUUGUAUGCAUUCAAGAAUGGAUCAAGAAAUAAUGAAUAUUAGAAUUUCUUGAUACUGAUGCUUAAUUUUUUAUUUUCACUGAUACAGACUUUGUACACCACUACAAUGUAUAUUUUCUCUGUACAAAUAUACUUUUAUGUAUACUAUAUACAUUCAAUUCCUUUCUACAAUCAAUGUACCUUCUUGUGAUUAUUGAAAAUUAUAAUUUUGUGUGAUUGUGCAAAA
This is a long non-coding RNA of Panicum virgatum (switchgrass), 1373 nucleotides long. RefSeq lists it as uncharacterized. The record is from RefSeq and is a predicted model, not a curated record. The transcript is spliced from 3 exons. Lineage: Eukaryota; Viridiplantae; Streptophyta; Magnoliopsida; Poales; Poaceae.